GAACAAUUCAGACAGUCUUCUGACUAAAUACAAGGGUGCUGCUUUCACAUCCUGAGUCUGAUGCAGACCUCAGAAAUCAUACCUAGCUAGCUGAGUAUUGGUGAAAGAUAACCUGUGAAUCAAUGCAGUGUCCCACUUUACACGGUGUCUGAAAACCUGACGAGAGAAUACAGCUGGUUGUCGGAUUCGGAAAAUGUAAAAUAUCACGUAAAGAGCAUUGUAAACAAGAGCCAGCAACCACACGACAUGUACAGAGAAUGACUUCAGCUGGAAAUUUCACGGGGAUUUCAAACAACGGUCAACCAACGCUGUCAGCAGUUCACCAAAAAAAUAAAAUGUUGCCGGUCGCUCCUGCAUCACCUUGACAUGGCAAGACUGGAAGGUUCUCAGGGGUCCCGACCCAUGACCCUUUACCCUACGGCUCCUGGGUGUUGUUGACAUUGCCUGGUGAAUAACUGAGAGAGAGCAAGAGAGAAAGAGAGAGAAGUGUCCUCGGAGGGAGACACUGCGAAUGAAUAAGGAGUAGAUCAAAGCUGAAGAUAAGCCCAGAGGUCACGACCCCUGCUAGGGCGUCUGUCAGGAGGUGUAAAGGAUACAGGAUAUGCUGUGUAACACAGGUUGUCUGCAGAAAGAACGAGCGGCACUCUCAGAAAUCCUUAGGAUCAGCCAGAAAUUCCCAGCCAAGCGACCGAAACACUAGUGCACAUAAACAAGGGAAGUGCAUCAUUAGUCUACCCAAAUGAGUCUCAAUGAUGAUGAACUGGACUUCUCAGUUCCUUUAAACUGCUUUCUGUGGAGCUCUAGGACAAGAGCAUGAGUUA
Long non-coding RNA from Carassius carassius (crucian carp), 821 nucleotides. RefSeq lists it as uncharacterized. NCBI's taxonomy places the organism in Eukaryota, Metazoa, Chordata, Actinopteri, Cypriniformes, Cyprinidae. The record is from RefSeq and is a predicted model, not a curated record. The transcript has 4 exons.